Molecule: long non-coding RNA, 164 nt
Filed under: Ixodes scapularis (black-legged tick)
Lineage: Eukaryota; Metazoa; Arthropoda; Arachnida; Ixodida; Ixodidae
Description: uncharacterized LOC120848138, transcript variant X1
Source: RNAcentral
CCAGAAAAGGAAGGAAUGAUCCAUGUCGGGCAAGGUGUGCACGUCAACCAGGAAUGCGGGCAACAUGCGGAGAGCAGAGUGCGACUCCAUGUUUUGCAAGAUCACUGCUGCUUCCAUAGGGCUGCUUUUGACUACACCUGAGGGAGAAAGGUACCACCAGGCUG